CGGAUGCGAUCAUACCAGCACUAAAGCACCGGAUCCCAUCAGAACUCCGAAGUUAAGCGUGCUUGGGCGAGAGUAGUACUAGGAUGGGUGACCUCCUGGGAAGUCCUCGUGUUGCAUCCC
RNAcentral lists this ribosomal RNA (120 nucleotides) under Helictotrichon cantabricum. The record is from RNAcentral. Lineage: Eukaryota; Viridiplantae; Streptophyta; Magnoliopsida; Poales; Poaceae.